GAAAGUUAAUAAGAGUGUAUGGUGGAUGCCUUGGCUCUCAGUGGCGAUGAAGGACGUGGUAAGCUGCGAUAAGCUUCGGGGAGGUGCAAACUACCUUCGAUCCGGAGAUUUCCGAAUGGGGCAACCCAUCAUAUUGAAGAUAUGAUAUCCGAAAGGAAGCAAACCCAGAGAACUGAAACAUCUAAGUACCUGGAGGAAGAGAAAACAAUAGUGAUUCCCCGAGUAGUGGUGAGCGAAAAGGGAACAGCCCAAACCAACAUUGUUAAGGCAAAGUUGGGGUUGUAGGACUACAAUAUGGACUUUAAAAUGAUAAUCGAAUCUUCUGGAAAGUUGAACCAAAGAAGGUGAUAGUCCUGUAAAUGAAAUCAUUUUAAUACCUAGUAGUAUCCUGAGUAGUGCGGGACCGGUGAAAUCCCGUAUGAAUCUGCCGGCACCAUCCGGUAAGGCUAAAUACUCCUGAGAGACCGAUAGCGAACCAGUACUGUGAAGGAAAGGUGAAAAGUACCCCGAACAGGGGAGUGAAAUAGAACCUGAAACCAUACACUUACAAACGGUUGGAGCCACUUCGUGUGGUGACAGCGUGCCUUUUGCAUAAUGAGCCUACGAGUUACUCCUCACUGGCAAGGUUAAAUGCGUUGACGCAUGUAGCCGAAGCGAAAGCAAGUCUGAAUAGGGCGCCCAGUCAGUGGGGGUAGACGCGAAACUUUAGUGAUCUAUCCAUGGUCAGGAUGAAGGCUCGGUAACACGAGCUGGAGGUCCGAACUAGUUGACGUUGAAAAGUCUUUGGAUGAACUGUGGAUAGGGGUGAAAGGCUAAUCAAACUGAGAGAUAGCUCGUACUCCCCGAAAUGCCUUUAGGGGCAGCCUCGAGGUUGAGUUUUAUAGAGGUAGAGCUACUGAUUGGAUGCGGGGGCUUCACCGCCUGCCAAAUCCAGACAAACUCCGAAUGCUAUAAAAUAUACUCGGGAGUGAGGCGCAGGGUGCUAAGGUCAUGCGCCGAGAGGGAAAGAACCCAGACCAUCAGCUAAGGUCCCUAAAUAUAUGCUAAGUUGAAACAACGCGGUUGGACUGCAUUGACAGCUAGGAUGUUGGCUUGGAAGCAGCCAUUCAUUUAAAGAGUGCGUAACAGCUCACUAGUCGAGCGAUCGGGCAUGGAUAAUACUCGGGCAUCAAGCAUAUUACCGAAGCUAUGGAUUGUACAUUGUACACUGGUAGGGGAGCAUUCCAGUCUGCGUUGAAGGUGUGUCGUAAGGCAUGCUGGAGCGUCUGGAAAAGCAAAUGUAGGCAUAAGUAACGAUAAUGUGGGUGGGAAACCCACACGCCGAAAGACCAAGGUUUCCUGAUCAACGCUAAUCGGAUCAGGGUUAGUCGGGACCUAAGACAAACCCGAACGGGGUAGUCGAUGGACAACAUGUUAAUAUUCAUGUACCGGCUCAAUUGCGAUGGGGUGGCGGAGGAGUGAAAGUUCUGCGUACUGACGGAAUAGUACGUUGAAGGGUGUAGAUAUAUUCUGAAUAGUAAAACACGUUUGGAAUGUCGAACCUGAUAGUACCGCAAGCCCUCGGGCAAGCGGAUAAUGAACCUAAUCAGACUCACAAGAAAAACCCCUAAGCUUCAGAUUGAAGCCGCCCGUACCGGAAACCGACACAGGUGGUCGAGGAGAGUAUCCAAAGGCGCUCGAGUGAUUCAUGGUUAAGGAACUAGGCAAAUUAGUCCUGUAACUUCGGAAUAAAGGACCCCUUAUUAAUAUGAGGGCGCAGAGAAAUGGCCCAGGCGACUGUUUAUCAAAAACACAUGGCUUUGCUAAAUCGAAAGAUGACGUAUAAGGCCUGACACCUGCCCGGUGCUGGAAGGUUAAGAGGAGAGGUUAGUCGCAAGGCGAAGCUUUGAAUUGAAGCCCCAGUAAACGGCGGCCGUAACUAUAACGGUCCUAAGGUAGCGAAAUUCCUUGUCGGGUAAGUUCCGACCUGCACGAAUGGUGUAACGAUCUGGGCACUGUCUCAACCAUGAGCUCGGUGAAAUUGUAGUUCCGGUGAAGAUGCCGGAUACCCGCAACGGGACGAAAAGACCCCGUGAACCUUCACUAUAACUUUGCAUUGACUUUGAAUAAACGAUGUGUAGGAUAGGUGGGAGACUGUGAAGCGGAGGCGCUAGCUUUCGUGGAGUCAACCUUGAAAUACCACCCUUUGUUUAUUUGAAGCCUAAUCCCGACCACGGGAGACAUUGCAUGGUGGGUAGUUUGACUGGGGUGGUCGCCUCCAAAAGAGUAACGGAGGCUUUCAAAGGUACCCUCAGCACGCUUGGUAACCGUGCGUAGAGUGUAAUGGCAUAAGGGUGCUUGACUGUGAGACCUACAAGUCGAUCAGGUAGGAAACUAGAGCAUAGUGAUCCGGUGGUUCCGCAUGGAAGGGCCAUCGCUCAAAGGAUAAAAGGUACUCCGGGGAUAACAGGCUGAUCAUUCCCAAGAGCUCAUAUCGACGGAAUGGUUUGGCACCUCGAUGUCGGCUCGUCACAUCCUGGGGCUGGAGAAGGUCCCAAGGGUUCGGCUGUUCGCCGAUUAAAGUGGCACGUGAGCUGGGUUCAGAACGUCGCGAGACAGUUCGGUCUCUAUCUGUUGUGGGCGUUGGAAAUUUGAGGGCACCUGACUCUAGUACGAGAGGACCGAGUCGGACAUACCGCUAGUGUACCUGUUAUGGCGCCAGCUGUACAGCAGGGUAGCUACGUAUGGUUGAGAUAAGCGCUGAAAGCAUCUAAGCGCGAAACUCAGCUCAAGAUGAGAUUUCCUUUAAGGGUCGUUGUAGACUACGACGUUGAUAGGUUGCAGGUAUAAAGGCAGUAAUGUCACAGCCGAGCAAUACUAAUUACCCGUAAAUUUUCUGCUG
This 2881-nucleotide ribosomal RNA is filed under the name bioreactor sludge metagenome. RNAcentral's name for it is "bacterial LSU rRNA". It matches the Rfam family "Bacterial large subunit ribosomal RNA". The record is from RNAcentral.